UCCAUUUAUGCUUUAAUUGCCAGCUAGAGUAGUUCCCAACUUUCAAACACUUAUCAAAUCUAACUAUUGACGUGGCCAUAAUUGACCAUCUCUCUCACUAAGCAAAUGUCAUUAGGAAAUGGAAUCCAUCAACCAAAAUCACGGGUUUUAAUUAGAAAACCAAUAAUGCAAGAGGCAAUUCGACCAGCCAGAAACUAGGAACAAUCAAUCCAA
This 213-nucleotide long non-coding RNA is filed under the name Theobroma cacao (cacao). Its description in RNAcentral is "long non-coding RNA (TCAC_LNC000550)". The record is from RNAcentral. Lineage: Eukaryota; Viridiplantae; Streptophyta; Magnoliopsida; Malvales; Malvaceae.